CACUUCGCUUCCCUUCAUUGAAUGGGGCUCUGUUGUUUCAUCGCCCCCAACGAUUUCAAAGGUUACAGCCAUUUGAGACUGAAAAGCCCUAUACGGAUUGACUAACUGUGGUUUGCAUGCCGUGCCAAAGGACCCUUUCAUGAGGAAUAGGUGGUUGGAGUUUGUUGGUCCCCACUGAUGGACCUGAGCCCUAGGAACAUGCCUCAGGACUACCUGGCAUGAUGACUCCUUGCUGUCCCCAGUCCACCUGGCCGUGGUGCUGCUCCAGUUUCGAGGGUGCUCCACUGUUCUGCCUGCGGCUAUGGAACCCUGACCUGCUCACCGGACGUGCUUGUUGCACCCUCGACAACUACUAUGAUUAUUAUUAUUUGACCAUGCUGGUCAUUUAUGAACAUUUUAACAUCUUGACCAUGUUCUGUUAUAAUAUCCACCCGGCACAGCCAGAAGAGGACUGGCCACCCCUCAUAGCCUGGUUCCUCUCUAGGUUUCUUCCUAGGUUUUUGGCCUUUCUAGGGAGUUUUUCCUAGGGAGUUUUUCCUAGCCACCGUGCUUCUUUCACAUGCAUUGCUUGCUGUUUGGGGUUUUAGGCUGGGUUUCUGUACAGCACUUUGAGAUAUCAGCUGAUGUACGAAGGGCUAUAUAAAUACAUUUGAUUUGAUGAUAACAGAUAACAGAAAAGAGUGACGGAGUAUUUUAUUUUAAGUAUAUUUGUCAUCUAUUUGUCAGUCUACCUCUUCAUAUGUGCUUUUCUUUAAAAAUCCUCUCCUCUAUUCACACAACAAUCAGGACUUUACAGUGCACAGGUAUCUCAGACUCCGAGCUGAGCAACUCACACACCCUGUUAGAUCAAAGAAAACACUCUUACACACACUGCAACAACACCAUGCACAGUAGUGACACACACACACUACCACUUGAACUCCUAAGAAUGUGAUUAUAUAAUUUUGAGGCGUGCUUUACCACUAGCUAGGUUUCCAUACACUUUGACAGAUUUUCAUGCAGAUAUUCUAAAAUCUACAUAAAAACAAUAUGCACUUUUUCCCACCAGAGACAUGAUACCAGCAAAUUGACUUGUUGUGCUAUACUACAGAUAAAAUGCUGUGCGUGAUGUCAUAGUGCACGUCAAAAUAAUUUAUGCGGUUAAAUUCUCAUAUACCGAAUAAACAAAUACAACUUAAA
Salmo salar (Atlantic salmon) is the source of this 1179-nucleotide long non-coding RNA. RefSeq lists it as uncharacterized. NCBI's taxonomy places the organism in Eukaryota, Metazoa, Chordata, Actinopteri, Salmoniformes, Salmonidae. The record is from RefSeq and is a predicted model, not a curated record.